Molecule: long non-coding RNA, 399 nt
Filed under: Bos taurus (domestic cattle)
Lineage: Eukaryota; Metazoa; Chordata; Mammalia; Artiodactyla; Bovidae
Description: long non-coding RNA NONBTAT013962
Source: RNAcentral
ACAGUGCAAUAUUUUUAAAAGCAAGACACACAUUCAUGUGAACAUCUAUUUAAAAAGAACAAUAACAUUUCUUGGAAAAGGCAGCAGGGAAAUAAACCCAUGGGGAAGUAAUUACAAUAAAAACUAGAAUAUGAGGCCUGCAGGUAAACAAACUCUUGGUCAAUCUGUGUUCUACGAUCAGUUUGUGACCUAGUCUGUCACACAAUGGUACUUUUUCCCGAAACAGCUUUCCCCCUCUGUGUCUCAUUUUUAUGAUGGAACUGAUGACACCCUGUUGUGCUUUAUUCCAUCUGAGCAUUUAGACAGAGACCUCAGGAACCUUAACAAAAGCUGUAACCCCUGGGUACAGGUUGAGACAGGCUCAGGGCUCCAUCUUUACGUCACCCAACCAUGCUUUGA